RNAcentral lists this small RNA (156 nucleotides) under Pantoea brenneri. RNAcentral's name for it is "Glm Y RNA activator of glmS mRNA". It matches the Rfam family "Glm Y RNA activator of glmS mRNA". From Rfam's summary of the family: This family consists of a number of bacterial RNA genes of around 167 bases in length. The function of this RNA is unknown. Lineage: Bacteria; Pseudomonadati; Pseudomonadota; Gammaproteobacteria; Enterobacterales; Erwiniaceae. The record is from RNAcentral.
CUGCUCAUUCACCUGUUUAUGAUUGCCCCGCACUGCGGAAAAGAGCUCAUAAAACCCGAAUGACGCACCAAACGGAGCCUGCCGUCCACCUCAUCGAUAAUCGUUUGCUUUGCAACGUUAUCAAACGCCGGACGUAACGUUGAGUAAGGCUCCACC